Molecule: non-coding RNA, 208 nt
Organism: Schizosaccharomyces pombe (fission yeast)
Lineage: Eukaryota; Fungi; Ascomycota; Schizosaccharomycetes; Schizosaccharomycetales; Schizosaccharomycetaceae
Source: the annotation of a GenBank genome assembly
AGUAGCAGCUGGACUAUAUGGAGGUGGGACUUCUUCAGGCAAAUUUUCAGAAACGGUAGUAGUUGUAUUCGGGUGUGCCAUUACAUGUGUAUACCGAACAGAGCCACGACGAGGUGAGCCAAUUGGAGAUGUAUAUACAGUUGCAGGAACGUAUGCAGACUGGGGAGAUGUAGGUGAACGGCGAGGAACUGCUGUUGCGCCAGGCCUA